UGGGGAAUAUUGGACAAUGGGCGAAAGCCUGAUCCAGCCAUGCCGCGUGUGUGAAGAAGGUCUUCGGAUUGUAAAGCACUUUAAGUUGGGAGGAAGGGCAGUAAGCGAAUACCUUGCUGUUUUGACGUUACCGACAGAAUAAGCACCGGCUAACUCUGUGCCAGCAGCCGCGGUAAUACAGAGGGUGCAAGCGUUAAUCGGAAUUACUGGGCGUAAAGCGCGCGUAGGUGGUUCGUUAAGUUGAAUGUGAAAGCCCCGGGCUCAACCUGUGAACUGCAUCCAAAAAUGGCGAGAUAGAGGAGGGCAGAGGGUGGUGGAAUUUCCUGUGUAGCGGUGAAAUGCGUAGAUAUAGGAAGGAACACCAGUGGCGAAGGCGACCACCUGGGCUCAUACUGACACUGAGGUGCGAAAGCGUGGGGAGCAAACAGG
Molecule: ribosomal RNA, 429 nt
Filed under: Pseudomonadota bacterium
Lineage: Bacteria; Pseudomonadati; Pseudomonadota
Description: Proteobacteria bacterium partial 16S ribosomal RNA
Rfam family: Bacterial small subunit ribosomal RNA
Source: RNAcentral